RNAcentral lists this transfer RNA (72 nucleotides) under Ovis aries (sheep). It matches the Rfam family "tRNA". Rfam says of the family: Transfer RNA (tRNA) molecules are approximately 80 nucleotides in length. Their secondary structure includes four short double-helical elements and three loops (D, anti-codon, and T loops). Lineage: Eukaryota; Metazoa; Chordata; Mammalia; Artiodactyla; Bovidae. The record is from Rfam by way of RNAcentral.
UCCCAGGUGAUUCAGUGGUAAAGAAUCUGCCUACCAUUGCAGAAGACACAGGUUCGACCCCUGGCUUGGGAA